Molecule: non-coding RNA, 61 nt
Filed under: Paenibacillus sp.
Lineage: Bacteria; Bacillati; Bacillota; Bacilli; Caryophanales; Paenibacillaceae
Also listed under: 2 other names
Description: Fluoride sequence
Rfam family: Fluoride riboswitch aptamer (crcB RNA motif)
Source: RNAcentral
AACCGCAUAGGCGAUGGAGUUCGCCUUUAAACGCCCAAGGGCUGAUGACUCCUACCAGCGC